Molecule: long non-coding RNA, 292 nt
Organism: Acipenser ruthenus (sterlet)
Lineage: Eukaryota; Metazoa; Chordata; Actinopteri; Acipenseriformes; Acipenseridae
Exons: 3
Source: RefSeq, a predicted model, not a curated record
ACUACGUUUUGGAGUAAACUUGGAACGGAACCUAAUGAGUGGCCUAUCCAGAAUGGUAGAUGCUAUUUUCAGACUUUCUAGUGGGCAUCUUCUAACUACUGUGAUGUCCUACAUUGAAGAUGCUUCAGAUAAGACACGUGGAAAUGGACUGAGAAUGAAUGCUGCAUUGUUGCUGUUGCCAGCUUUGUUUCGAGAGAGGGAAAAUCUGUUUGUUGUUGACCAAGUACCACCAUCACCUACGCCAACUAUCGUUUUCAAGGGAACAACAAGCCCAUUGGCAGCAGAUGACAUC